AGAAGCAAAGCCGCGAGGUAGAGCAAAUCUCAAAAAAAACAUCUCAGUUCAGACUGCAGGCUGCAACUCGCCUGCACGAAGUCGGAAUUGCUAGUAAUCGUAGGUCAGCAUACUACGGUGAAUACGUUCCCGGGCCUUGUACACACCGCCCGUCAAACCAUGAGAGUUGGCAACACCCGAAGUCGGUAGUCUAACCGCAAGGAGGACGCCGCCGAAGGUGGGGUUGAUGAUUAGGGUUAAGUCGUAACAAGGUACC
RNAcentral lists this ribosomal RNA (256 nucleotides) under uncultured bacterium. RNAcentral's name for it is "partial 16S ribosomal RNA". It matches the Rfam family "Bacterial small subunit ribosomal RNA", at positions 1245 to 1500 of the family's 1533-position model. The record is from RNAcentral.